Molecule: unclassified non-coding RNA, 285 nt
Filed under: uncultured fungus
Lineage: Eukaryota; Fungi
Description: partial contains small subunit ribosomal RNA, internal transcribed spacer 1, and 5.8S ribosomal RNA
Rfam family: Eukaryotic small subunit ribosomal RNA (bases 1-73)
Source: RNAcentral
GCAAACUUGGUCAUUUAGAGGAAGUAAAAGUCGUAACAAGGUUUCCGUAGGUGAACCUGCGGAAGGAUCAUUAAAGAGAAAACUGCCCUUUGGGUAGAUCUCCCACCCUUUGUUUACAAUACCUUCGUUGCUUUGGCAGGCCCGUCUUCUGACCACCGGCUCUUUGGCUGGUCCGUGCCUGCCAAGAGACCUCUAACUCUUGACUUGAUGUUGUCUGAGUCUUAUAUAAUAGUAAAAACUUUCAACAACGGAUCUCUAGGUUCUGGCAUCGAUGAAGAACGCAGC